UCCCUGGUAUCUCAGCUGGUAAAGAAUUUGCCUGCAAUGCGAGAGACCCUGGUUUCAUUUCUAGGUCGGGGAG
RNAcentral lists this transfer RNA (73 nucleotides) under Bos taurus (domestic cattle). It matches the Rfam family "tRNA". From Rfam's summary of the family: Transfer RNA (tRNA) molecules are approximately 80 nucleotides in length. Their secondary structure includes four short double-helical elements and three loops (D, anti-codon, and T loops). The record is from Rfam by way of RNAcentral. Lineage: Eukaryota; Metazoa; Chordata; Mammalia; Artiodactyla; Bovidae.